This 440-nucleotide ribosomal RNA is filed under the name uncultured Anaerolineaceae bacterium. Its description in RNAcentral is "bacterial SSU rRNA". It matches the Rfam family "Bacterial small subunit ribosomal RNA", at positions 926 to 1382 of the family's 1533-position model. The record is from RNAcentral. Lineage: Bacteria; Bacillati; Chloroflexota; Anaerolineae; Anaerolineales; Anaerolineaceae.
CAAGCAGCGGAGCGUGUGGUUUAAUUCGUUGCUACACGAAGAACCUUACCUGGGUUUGACAUAUAGGUUGUAGGGAACUGAAAGGGACCGACCUUCGGGAGCCUAUACAGGUGUUGCAUGGCUGUCGUCAGCUCGUGUCGUGAGAUGUUCGGUUAAGUCCGCUAACGAGCGCAACCCUCGUCGUAUGUUAUAUGUGUCAUACGAGACUGCCGGUAAAAGACCGGAGGAAGGUGAGGAUGAUGUCAAGUCAGCAUGACCUUUAUAUCCAGGGCUACACACACGCUACAAUGGUCUGUACAAUGGGUAGCCAAGCCGCGAGGCGGAGCCAAUCCUGAAAGCAGGCCUCAGUUCAGAUUGCAGUCUGCAACUCGACUGCAUGAAGCCGGAGUUGCUAGUAACCGCAGGUCAGCAAUACUGCGGUGAAUACGUUCCCGGGUCUU